Lemur catta (Ring-tailed lemur) is the source of this 1239-nucleotide long non-coding RNA. RefSeq lists it as uncharacterized. The record is from RefSeq and is a predicted model, not a curated record. NCBI's taxonomy places the organism in Eukaryota, Metazoa, Chordata, Mammalia, Primates, Lemuridae. The transcript has 2 exons.
GUCAACAGAGCGGAGGUGGAGAACGCCUGCCCCAACCUCCGCCGGGACCCCGGGCCAGGGCUCGCCUGUUGAUCUGGGAGACGUAUUGCUUCAUCUCCUUCAGGGCCACGUCCAGCCUGGUGAAGAGCUGCAGGUUACUGCAAGAAGAAAGUUUCAGUCUGGUGCUAAUAUGCUUUAAACUACUGGGAUCAUUUUCCUGCCUGGAAUGCAGAUGUGAUGGCUGGAACUCCAGCAGACAUACUCUACCAUGAGGCAUCCUGAAGGCCAAGAGCCAUCUCUAGAGAAGAUGGCACAGAAAGAGGAGCCUGGCUUCCUGAUGACCAUGAAGCCGCCACUGUAGCCUGGACUGCCCACCUUGAGACGUCUUCUGUUCUAGCAUCUAGGGUGCAAGAUCUGAACACACUUUCUAACAGACACAGGCAGGUACCUUGCUCCGGGUCAAGGCCGAUGAGGGAGGGUUUGCGGCCAAAGCGGAUGCUGAAGGACCUGCCAACCGAGGGGGUGGUCUUGGGGUAGGACACUUCCAUGAGGUUGAUGUGGCAAUUGGUGGGGCAGAAGUCCAGGCCACACAGUGGAUGGGGCUCCAGGGGUGCUUGUUUGAAGGGUGGGCUGACCCUGCUCUUCAGCUGGGCUGCAAACUGGGAAAGGUAGAGGACAGGGGUCGUGAGUCAGGGGUCAAGGUCUGGAAAUUCUGGCCCAACCCAGAACCCACUUUACCCUGGCCUAGGCCAGAUGUUCCAAAAUUGGACAAAACGCCAACAGCUCCCAGUGGAAAAGUGCAUGUCCCUGUGCUGUCUUUCACUGGCCCACACCUCAGGGAGGGCCUGGAGGAAUCUGAGGCCUCUGAGAACUCAUCUCAUUCAUUUCUCCAUUUCGGCUGUGCCUGAGCUGUCCUUAAGGCACUGUCUCUCCCGCCCCUCAGAUCAUGAAGUUCAGGUCCCACAGUGACUGGGACCGGGCCAGGCAAGUGACCCAAGCCAAGCCAAUAAGAGCCUCCUUCAAGUUAAUUUUUUACUGGGGUUGCUAAGGCUAGAGCUACUGAGGGCCGUCCUGUCACGCCAUGAGAAGGGCCUGCCCAAGAGUGAAGCCAACACAAAGGAAAACAAAGUCAGGAGAUGGAGAGAGGCCACAUUCCUAUGACACUGUGACAUCUGUUUAGCACCAGGAUACAGCCAGGCCUGAAGUUCACCUCUGCACUUUUCCAUAAUAUAAAUGAAUAAAUUCUGUUUGUUUAUGCUA